RNAcentral lists this transfer RNA (69 nucleotides) under Metallyticus sp. RNAcentral describes it as "tRNA-Lys". The record is from RNAcentral. Lineage: Eukaryota; Metazoa; Arthropoda; Insecta; Mantodea; Metallyticidae.
CACCAGAUGACUGAAAAUAAGUAUUGGUCUCUUAAACCAAAAAUAGUAAGUAAUAUCUACUUCCGGUGA